CCUACGGGAGGCAGCAGUGAGGAAUAUUGGUCAAUGGCCGUAAGGCUGAACCAGCCAAGUCGCGUGAAGGAAGAAGGAUCUAUGGUUUGUAAACUUCUUUUAUAGGGGAAUAAAGGUAUCCACGUGUGGAUAUUUGCAUGUACCCUAUGAAUAAGCAUCGGCUAACUCCGUGCCAGCAGCCGCGGUAAUACUGAGGAUGCGAGCGUUAUCCGGAUUUAUUGGGUUUAAAGGGUGCGUAGGUUGUUUUUUAAGUCAGCGGUGAAAGUUUGUGGCUCAACCAUAAAAUUGCCGUUGAAACUGGAAGACGUGAGUGUGUUUGAGGUAGGCGGAAUGCGUGGUGUAGCGGUGAAAUGCAUAGAUAUCACGCAGAACUCCGAUUGCGAAGGCAGCUUACUAAGCCAUAACUGACACUGAAGCACGAAAGCGUGGGGAUCAAACAGGAUUAGAUACCCGAGUAGUC
Molecule: ribosomal RNA, 460 nt
Filed under: uncultured bacterium
Lineage: Bacteria
Description: partial 16S ribosomal RNA
Rfam family: Bacterial small subunit ribosomal RNA
Source: RNAcentral